This is a non-coding RNA of Mus musculus (house mouse), 295 nucleotides long. Lineage: Eukaryota; Metazoa; Chordata; Mammalia; Rodentia; Muridae. The record is from the annotation of a RefSeq genome assembly.
GAGUUGCAGCUUAUGGAGUCUUGGGGAAGCUUGUUAAAGCUCCAGGGUUCUGUAAGACAUUCUUGUGCAGCCGCUGGAUUCACUUUCAGAGAAUACUAUAUCAGAUGGGUCCUGUAGAUUUUAGAAAAAGAUCUUGAGUCCUUGAUUUAAUUACAAACACAGCUGGGGGGUGAUUACAGAGUAUGCUUCCUAUGUGAGAAGGGCACUUCCCAUUUCAAGAGAUCAUACAAAAAAUAAAAUUUCAUGCCUCCAAAUAAACAGAUUGGAGACUUCUUUUUUCCCUGAGAAGAAAUGG